UACAAACAAAUAAUUGAAAAUUAUUGUUUAUAUACAUUUACAUUUAAGUAAAGAAAAAAUCGAAGAUGUGUCGUUGUAUUAUUAGAAAUUAAUGCUAUAUUAAAUGCUUGGUCAGUGUCGUUGUGGGUUUUGGUUCUUUUGCUGUUAUGGGUUAUAAAGACCUUUGAAAUACUGAAAUCGUUUGGCUUAACAAUAUGGACAUAUAAUGCAGUCAAGACCUGCCUGGAACUACUUUAGCCAUGGCUUUCGCUGAAAAUAACUGCUCACACAUUCUUCAACCAAUCAGAUUCAAGCAUUCAACGGCCCCCGUAGCAUAAAAAAUGUAAAUUCAAAGUUCAAAUAACUGUUUUGUGUUUGAUUUCCUUACUGAUUUAUUUUCUCCACUAAGAUGAGCUUAACCUUGAGAAGAAGCCAAUCUCUUAAGAGCCUCUCUGGAGGUCAUAGUUCAUGGUUUUGGGACAGAAGGACACCUGUUUCUCAGCUUGUUGAAAGGUAUGAGAGCUGUGUGGAUCUCACAGAUAUUGACAGAGAAGAGGCAUAUUCCAAGUCAUCCGGCCUGAGAAGAUCAAACCAUGAAGAGAAUAAAGUUGAAAAUCUCUGGAGGAGAUACGAAUCCCUCAGUGGGACAAAUAACACUUUGUCCAGAAGUAUUUCAAUGGACAUGCUGCCCCAGCCAGACCUGGUGGGCCCUAAAGCUCAGAGGGUCUUGUCUGAGUCAAAGAAGUAUGCAAGCAGCCCUCGGCUCAACGUCACACCACAGACCAAAAGCAGCCCAAUGAGUCCCAGUACCUCACAGUGGAGGGAGGCACCGACGGGGUGGGAGAAAGUCUAUUCUGGUGCCACUACUGUCACCAGCGCCAAAAAGGACAAGGCUCAUCAGAAAGAAAAAACCUUCAAUGAGCCAAUGAGAAGAAGGACAAUCAGUGGGGUUCCUGGAUGUGUCACCCGAUCCUCCACUGGACCGAAUGGUAAGUUGAUUAACACAUUAUAAAUACACCUAAUUAUUUGUACAACUAGUGUAAAUGAGGGAGAAUAUAUUUGCCAGUUAUUUCUUCUAGGCUCAGCUGUGAUGCAGGCAGUAACCGUGAGGUCAAAGGUCAUGUGAACUUUAUGCACUAUGUGAGACAAAACCUUGGCAUCUAAAGUCUUCCUACACAAGCAUGCGAUGCCAGCUGUCUGUGUUAAAAAUAUUCCUCAAAUAAUCCUAACAGAAUAGUUUCGAUUUAACGUCACAGACAAAAUCCUGUCUGCAAAGAGUGAGUCGUAUUUCACAGGUUUUCAAUGAGGGCCGAG
Molecule: long non-coding RNA, 1293 nt
Filed under: Carassius auratus (goldfish)
Lineage: Eukaryota; Metazoa; Chordata; Actinopteri; Cypriniformes; Cyprinidae
Description: lncRNA (ENSCARG00000004038.1)
Source: RNAcentral